Molecule: ribosomal RNA, 847 nt
Filed under: Isozoanthus giganteus
Lineage: Eukaryota; Metazoa; Cnidaria; Anthozoa; Zoantharia; Parazoanthidae
Description: partial 16S ribosomal RNA
Rfam family: Bacterial large subunit ribosomal RNA
Source: RNAcentral
ACUGUACUAAACUAACUAUAGUGGGGGAUAGUGAGGGGAUAAAGUUUUCUUAAGGAACUCGGCCAAAUCCUGGAUAUCCAUCAGGGUAUAUAUUUAGAAACAUGGGCCUCGACUGUUUACCAAAAACAUAGCUCUCAGCCAAUAUGUAAAUAGAAGUAUGGAGGGUGAGGCCUGCCCAAUGGUUGUAUCUGAAACGGUUGAUAAAAGUCGACUUCAUAAGGACAAUUGAAUGGCCGCGGUAACACUGACCGUGAUAAUGUAGCGUAAUCAAUAGCCAAUUAAUUGUUGGCCAGUAUGAAUGGCGUCACGAAGGCCCCACUGUCUUAAGAAAACUCCCAGUGAAAUUGAAUUCGUAGUGAAGAUGCUACGUCCAAUUUGUUAGACGAAAAGACCCCAUUGAGCUUUACUGGAGACUUACAUUGCUCGGAUCGAUUCCUGUUGGCCCGAUCCUCCGGGAGUCUAAUUUAAAUAGAUAGCUUAGAUUAUGUGGUAUCAACCUGUUUGGGUGAAUGAAACCCCACUUUUCUAUGUAAAAAGAGCUAACCCUUCCUCUCAAAGGGACAAUGUAAGUUGGACAGUUUGGUUGGGGCGACCACCUUUUAAAGAGUAACGAAGGUGUGCUUAAGGUACACAAAUUAAUAACAGUAGCCUGACUGCGAGGGGGAACGCUCCGAGCAGACACCUAAAGUAAAGAGAAUCAACUAUCUUACUAAUGGUGGGUUAUAGUGACCCGUUAAUUUAGAGUGGAAUAGUUAACGAUCAACGAAUAAAAGUUACCAUGGGGAUAACAGCGUAAUAUCGUUAGAGAGUUCACAUCGACGACGAUGUUUGCGACCUCGAUGUUGAA